ACGUAGGUGGCGAGCGUUGUACGGAAUUAUUGGGCGUAAAGCGCGCGCAGGUGGGAUAGUAAGUCUUUUGUAAAAGCACGGGGCUCAACCCCGUAAUGCGAAGGAUACUGCUAUUCUUGAGUACAGGAGAGGAUAGCGGAAUUCCCAGUGUAGCGGUGAAAUGCGUAGAUAUUGGGAGGAACACCAGUGGCGAAGGCGGCUUUCUGGGCUGUGUCUGACACUGAGGCGCGAAAGCCAGUGGAGCGAACGG
This 250-nucleotide ribosomal RNA is filed under the name uncultured prokaryote. RNAcentral describes it as "partial 16S rRNA". It matches the Rfam family "Bacterial small subunit ribosomal RNA", at positions 525 to 775 of the family's 1533-position model. The record is from RNAcentral.